Molecule: ribosomal RNA, 485 nt
Filed under: uncultured bacterium
Lineage: Bacteria
Description: bacterial SSU rRNA
Rfam family: Bacterial small subunit ribosomal RNA
Source: RNAcentral
GAUGAACGCUGGCGGCGUGCUUAACACAUGCAAGUCGAACGAAGCACUUUAUUAUGAUUUCUUCGGAAUGACGAUUUAGUGACUGAGUGGCGGACGGGUGAGUAACGCGUGGGUAACCUGCCUUAUACAGGGGGAUAACAGUUAGAAAUGACUGCUAAUACCGCAUAAGCGCACAGCAUCGCAUGAUGCAGUGUGAAAAACUCCGGUGGUACAGGAUGGACCCGCGUCUGAUUAGCUAGUUGGUGAGGUAACGGCUUACCAAGGCAACGAUCAGUAGCCGACUUGAGAGAGUGAUCGGCCACAUUGGGACUGAGACACGGCCCAAACUCCUACGGGGAGGCAGCAGUGGGGAAUAUUGCACAAUGGGGGAAACCCUGAUGCAGCGACGCCGCGUGAAGGAAGAAGUAUUUCGGUAUGUAAACUUCUAUCAGCAAGGAGGAAAAUGACGGUACUUGACUAAGAAGCCCCGGCUAAAUACGUGCCAG